This is a long non-coding RNA of Enhydra lutris kenyoni (northern sea otter), 13023 nucleotides long. RefSeq lists it as uncharacterized. The record is from RefSeq and is a predicted model, not a curated record. Lineage: Eukaryota; Metazoa; Chordata; Mammalia; Carnivora; Mustelidae. The transcript is spliced from 4 exons.
CCUCCGCCCGCUGUGGACGCGCGAGCGGGCCGGGCGGCGGGUGCGGGCCUCGCGGCCACGGGCUCCCCGCUGCCCGGCUCCCGCGGCCGUCUGACGGCGGUCCGCACCGGCGCGCGGCUGUUGGACCCUGGCUUUGCUGCCUCGAAGCCGAGGAGUGUCUGCUCGUUCAGGAAAGCGUCUCGGCGCCUGCUCUUCCGCCGUUGGGGCCGCGGUGCCGGCGCUGGGGCGGUGACAGCCCGCCGGCAAGGGCCUCUCCUCCGAGGCCGCCGCUGCCUUGGCCUCCCCCAGACAUCUCGGGCAGAAGUGGCCCCUCGCGCGCUCGGUGCGCCGCAGAAGCCGGCGUGGCGUGACCCCCGGACACGGGCGUGGCGGCCCCGCGACCCCCACGAGGUAUUCCCGGGUCCCCUGGCCGUGACUGGCCUCGCUGCGCUGGGAGAAGCGGGAAGCCGCCCAGCUCUGCGCGCUCUCUAAUUGGGAAAACUUCAAGAAAGGGCCGCAGAGAAGCCACUUCAAUGGCAAAGCAGAGGCAGUCCACAGUGACAGCUUCUUGAAGCAGGACCCAGGAAGCCACCACCGCGGCGACAGACAGUGAGGCAAGAGUCAAACAUUCCCCAGCAGAUGGCCGAGAAGCCCGGAGGAGCGCGGGACUGCGCCCAGUUGCCCUUGGGUUCAAGCCAAGAAGAGAGCCUAGCUGCCCUGGAGGGACCAGAGUGAGGCCAGCGGGAGGCGACGCCAAGAGACCCCAGGAACAUCCCUGGAGGAAAACGUCCCGAAGCGAGGGACCAGGGACUCUGGAUGGUUGGAAGCUCUCCAGGCAGGGCCCGUCACCCGGCAAAGCAGAGCAGGUGCCUAGGCGGAGAGGGGGCUUGGUUCCCUGGACUGCGGCGGGCGGGAGAAGAGGGGCCCGGGAGCGCCGGGCCCCGGGAACCAGCAGGAGUUUCCCACCAUGGCAGGGUAGAAAAAUGGACCGCAGCCCCCAAGCCUGGAGUGCCGCGAUGUCGCAGUCCCCGAGUGUAGGAGGAAGUGAAUUACAUGCGCGUGCACACACGUAAAUAUUUUAUAAACCUCCCCUUAAUUAACCAAAUCAUUUCCAUUAUGCCUCCAAUGUGAUCAACAGCGACGGCGUGAGGGUUUCCAGGGUUUAUAAUUUGAUGUCACCAGACGGUUGCUCGGGGGCAGAGGUACCGUCGCCGCGCCAGCUGCACGCGUAUUUAUUUGUUUUUCUACCGCGUUCCUGUAGGGCCCCAUUAUGCAGCUUUUAAUUAGCUUGUGUGUGUAGUUCACCGGUCCCGAAUCAGUGCCAUCCCGGAGCAAGGCGGUGUACAUCCUCGCAGUACAGGUGUAGCUGCCCGCCCCGGAACGCUAGGAAACGCGUGUCUGCCUCAGGAAUGCGGGGCCGCCACGCAGCCCGCGGCGGCUCUCCGCAGCCAAGAGGCGCAGAUCAAAGCCGGCGGGGACUUCGGCGGCUCCCCCGUGAGCACCGCGGUGGCUGCGGGUCCUCAGGCCCUCAGAGGGAGACGGGCGAGCUCGGCUUGGGGGACCAAGUGAGUUUCCGGCCUUGCCCAAGUCCUGAGGUCCUUGCUGCGGCGGCGGCGCGGACCUCUGGCGCGCGUCCCGCUCCGGGCCUGGUGCGCGGGCCGGUCGCGCGCGGAGAACCGAGCUGCGGAGCAGAGCGCCGUGGCUUCCUGCCGGUCCGAAGAGUCCUGUCACCGGACCCAGGGCGCACAGCCCGGAUCUCCGGAAUCUCCGGGCAGGAGAGCCCCCCACCCCGGCCCUUGCGCUGGCUGUCUCUUCCUUCUUGAAAUGACCUCUGUGGAGCGCCUGUAAAUCUAUCCCUCCAGCCACGGGGGAAUUCUUUUAAAGCUUUCUUUUUGGUCAGGAAUAAGAGAUUGUUCAUCUUUAACUAGACCACAUAGAAAUUAUGAUUCAACAACAGUGUGCAUUUAAUUAGAGUAAUCUCACUCGAAUUUAAUUACUUAAUGAAUUAUUUGUUUAAAAGGUACAACGUCUUGUUUGCCAAGUGCGGCGCAGACCUCUGAUAAGAACUUCUGUUCUAAGGACAUUAUGGCUUAAAAGCAGUCAUGUGCUAAGGUUUGCAUUUUAACUCCUUGAGUGUGGAACCGUUAACUGUUGAGGUACUAGUCCAAGGAAAUCUCUGACAUUUACGGGUGCAGAGAAGGUGCACAGAGGUUCCGUUCUGUUGUGUGCACAGGUCCCUUUGGAAAUUAGCAUCCUCCAACUUUUGUCGUGUAAGUCUAUUUUUAAACUUACUGCAUUCCGCUUUUGGUAGGCAGUCUCCUUUUUUCUGGUGCAAGAUGACAGCUGUCUACCAGAGGACUCAUUUUAUUAGUAUUUGCAGCGAAGCGGCACAGCCUUCAGGAAAACUCCUGCCUUGCUCCUCUGGGUCCCUGAGGCAUCCACAGUAGUGGCAGGAAGAUUUUCUGGGCUUAUCGAUCUUCCUCUUCCGGGAUUGGAAGCUACGAAGGCCCAUUCUUUGACCUUAACCCUUCGUUCCUAAACUGUGGAAGAAUUCCACUUCCUCUUGUUUUCCAAAAGCAAGCCAUGCCAUCCUUUCCGGGAGGCUCUGAAGUUGACUUGUCUCCGGGUGAUGUUAAGGAUUGACGGAGGCAGCUAAUGCAAGGUUCAUAACCAGGGGCCAUGGAGGAGGGUGACCUGCUGGGAUUCUGACACGAUUUCUGUGUCUUCUGUGGUUAGGUUGCUGUAGAAGCAGACAGUUUCUUUUCCUCCGCUAACCUGCAUGACGGACAGAACCUUCUAUCCUGGCAUGAUAGAAUUUUAACAGAAAAUGCCUGUAUUGGGUGAGGGUGGGUGCGGGAAGCCUUUCCCCCAUCAGUGAGAGAAAAUAGAAACUAGGAACACCUUAAACCCAGCGGACUCAAUUCCACUGUCAUUUUCAUUAAUAUUUCAUUAAUCAAAUAAGUUACCUUAAUGCACAUUUGGGCAUUAAUGCACUAUGGCCACAUAAAUAUUAAAUAUUGUGAGUAUAGUAUCCACCUAAAGAAGGAAUGAGCUUCUAAGAGAAGUACGACGUGUUGAUAAGAGUGAUUAGCUCUUUGUUUCUUUUCAGAAUCCCGGAUGUUUAUGGCAGCCCUGCGUCUUGUCCUGCAAUCAGAGUUCUUAUGGUGGUUGAGUUAUCGAGUAAACUUAAUCCCAUUCAGUUAUGGCUACAGGAGCCCCUUUCUUCCAAAGAAUCAGAUCAAUGCAUAUUUUACACUAUUUAUGAAUUUACUUCACAUAUUCUACCGAGUAACAACGGACAGUAACAACCAGAAAGGACAUGAGAUAAUAACUCAGGAAUGAGAAUACAUUUCUCAGAUCUGAGCAAAUCCAAAGACGAUUUGCUAGUAAAACCCUCAAAGGGAAUGAUAUGUGUGGGAUGGAAAAAGGUGAAACACUAAACGGCAUAUUUGUGUUUGACUCCUGGAGAACUGUUUGAACUUUCGACCAGAUAGGAUUCUACCUCCCAUGACUUCCUAGCAGCCCUCAUCACUUAUAUUAUAAAAGAUUCAAUCUACCUACUGGAAAUAACUUUUAGAAAUAGCAGUUGGGAAAUACCCACCCACACAGCUUCCUGGGCAGAAAGUGUGGUGCAUUCCGGCUUUCACAGACUGUGUGCCCCACAAGUCACUGGCGUGUAGGUUAAAAUCGGCCCAUUGAAGGGACAUCUGUGCAACAAACACGCCCAACACAGGACGCUUUGGGAGCUCAGGGGAAGGUUUCUCUAGGUUUGGAAGAUAUUUUGGUCUAGCAGCAUUUUCCAGGACCAUUCUUGUGGAAAAACAAAAUCCAGGACAAGUGUCCUCCGUUGCAUGUCUGUCUACACCUGCUGAAUGACCAGCAAAUGUGGGGUGGAAUUAAUGGUCUUCAUAACCUGUGGCCACACCUUUGAAAGGCUGAGCCCAUGGCGGCCCUGACUUCAGCCUUGGCACGAGAUGGGUUGUCUGAGCUCCCCGUGACCUUGGAAGUUAAACCACUGGAUAAUUCUGGGACAUCCUGGAACAUACACCUUGAUACCAAAACCCCAAGGAUGGUGAAGUAUUUACUGCUUUAAUCCAAGUUUCUUCCCGGUUGGCGUAUUGUUCUCCUGAAUCUUACUUGGGGAUUCAUGGAGUGUUCUGGAAUUCUCCUCUGAGAUUCAGUAGUUACCUAAUACUUUUGCUCAUGGGGAUCAUCAUCAAAUAACCCCGCAGGAAGACGGCGUGGCUUCCGUUGAGAGCUCUCCCAUUUGCUGUGGACUGGCGUCCGAACGAGGUGAGGGACGCUGUGGCGUAGAGUCUCAGCCGUGGAUUCUGUAACUGAGGAGGCAGGACCCGUGUGGGCCACAUCCUGACCAUGUGGGAGACCCCGGUGGACACCUGCACUCAGCUAGUCAUUUAAAAACCGAACGCGGGCUUUGUAGAACACUGAAAAUAAUGUGAAGAGUGAUUUUUUUUUUUUUUAAUCACCUUUAUGUGUGCUGAAAACCUAAAACCUCAGGGACUUACUGCUAUGGAUUCUUGGCCCCAGCUUCACCCAGAAGAUGCCAAGGGCACACAGUUUCUCCCUUAAGUGGGGUUGCAUAACAUUGGAAGAGUACUGACGCACUAUUUAUUUUAUUUAUUAAGUGGCGACCACAAGCCAGGCGUGGGACCGGGCCAGGGAUCCAGCAUUCAGGGGCUGUGUGGGCAGGAACGUGAGGUGGGAACAACCUGUUUGUUGCUGUCGAGGACUUCUGAGUGCCCGAUGCCCUGAGAUAAGAUUCAGCACGUCUGGUGCCUCGCAUGGAGAGGUCACCCAGGACAGGUUGUCAGAGAAAGGACUAGUUCUGUGAGUUCUGAGUGUCCCGGGCAGCCCUGGAGUGGACAUCCAGGGCUUGGCCCCAGCUCUGCCCCCGCCAGAUGCCUGGGAAGGUGGGGCGUCUGCAGCUGAAGGAGCUGCCUGUCCCGUCCUCCUCACACCUGUCUCCCCAUCUGAGAUUGUGGCACCCGACUGGGCAGGGCCCCCAGGCUGCCCUCGGGGCACCUCGCACAAUCCCACACACUGGGCAGCAUGAAAUGACAAAAGUCCAUUUUCUCACAGCUCCAGAGGCUCCCAACAAGAGACCCCGGGGUCUUGCUCCCUCCAGACACUCAGGUGAGGACCCGUCCUGCCCCUCCCAGCUUCCGGUGGCCCCAGGUUUUCUUAGGGCUUGUGUGUCCAUCAUUCUAACCACUCCUCAUGAUCUCCCGGCCUUCUGCUCUGUGUUGGUGUCUCUUCGCCUCCAUUUUUCGUAAAGACACUUGUCACUGGAUAUACGGCCCAUCCAGAGGACGCAGACUGAUCUCCUCAUACCAAGAUCCCUUGAUUGGUUGCAACUGCAAAGACUUUCUUCCCAAAUGAGGUCAUGUUCACGGCCUCUGUGGAUUAGGAUGUGGACACACCUUUGGGAGCCGUUGUUCAACCCAUGACAGGGCCUGACACUUAGUGCUUCGCGUCCCGGCACAGGGAGUCUGACACAAACCCACCAUGAAUGGGCCUGCAUGGACAGGAAGCUCUGGCCCGUGGAGACCCACGGGGCCUGCAGCUUGGGGACGUCCUUGGGGUGGGGGCGGCAAGGAGAGAAUGGCAUGAAGCCUGGGUUUCUGGACGAUGGCAGGAGGACGGUAUAGGAGAGGCCGUAGGAAAGAGCCGUGGCCCGGGGCCCCAUCAAGAACAUCCAACCGGUGCACCAGGACGGCACACCCUGAGACCCGAUGCCAACGUGUGAGAGUCACAAGUGAUCAUAGUAAAGAGGGUGAAACCACCAGAUUUUCACAUAGUCUCAUUAAGGCUCCCCCAAGGGACAAGAGAGGAAAGUGGAGCUUUAACGUCCCUGUACUUGCUGUCACCAUGUAGGGACCUCUUCUUCACGCUUCCGCAGUCAACAAUGCCGUGAGCUCCUGGGGCUGCUCUCACGCGGGAAUGUGGAAGUGUGUCCGAGCUAUUCACAGCCUCUGGCCAAGUUGGGUGCUGUGGGAUGCACUAGACUCCAAUCAGAGCCAGAGCACAGAGGGCAACGGACGGUGACACAUGUCCAUUGUGUCCAUUGACACCGUGUGGAGCUCGGCACAUGGAACCAGGAGUGCACAGCUGGUGUUUGCUAGGUCGGACCCAGUGAAGGGCUGGGGACCUCCCUCCCAUCUCCCAGCUCUGCCUUCAUUCACGUUGUCCUGUUGUCAGGAAGGCUCUGUCCCCAUGGCCCGAAGACACCCUUCUCCCACCCCCAGUCCCACUGCACCUUCACCGACCACUUUCCCCAUGGAGAAGGGAGAACACUCUCCCCCGAUGGCAGCAACCAGAGCCGCCGCAGUCAGCCAGCUGUCCCCCAGCCAGGACCUGGCACAGACACGGGGGGCUAAGUCAGGGCUGUUCUCCAGUGAAAGGUGAAAUGGCAGAGUGCUCUGCCCUGCCCCGGGGUGCCGCUGGCGUCUCCCUGUGCCAGACGCGUACCCGGCUGUCCAAGUCUUUGCCGUCCAGACAGGGCCUCCGAUUCCAGUGGACUCAGUUCUCCUUCUCGACCCUUCACGGAGCACUAGAUCUCUGUUGCGACGUCGGUCGUCAUCCACUCUUUACUGAUCGGCAGAACUGUGAUCGUAUCCCUUCACGGACCAGCAACAACAUACUGGACUCGCUCGGGCUCAAGCCGAACUGUCACUCUCAUCCCAUGGAAGAACCUGAGGGGUGCCGUUUGGGGUUGGUGAGGCGGGUCCAUGCCGUCGUCCGUGCAGAGGCUCCUCCUCGUGCCCUGCUCCGUCCCUGCGGCCGCUUGGAGUUGCCUCACAGCUUCAACCUAGCUGCCGCUGCGCCAAGCAUCACACUCUCACCCAAACGCAUUCCAGCAGGGAGAAACACAGACCGAAGAAGAGGAAUGUCCUUGUAUCUGAGAGAGGGAUCCUGUUCUGGAGUCCCCUGGCAGAGCUUUCCAUACGGCCCCGUGACAGGUGUGGUCCACUGCCGUGCCAGAUGCAGAGGAAGUUGGGGCAUCGAGCCAGGAAUGAGUCGUCCUGAGCAGCUGCGUGUCCCAGCCGUGGCUGGAGCUGGGCGUAUUCCUCCCCACGGUGGCCCUUAUGUCUGCUCUCACAUUUCCAGACUCUGCCUCUGGGAACAGGAUGGCACCUCUUACUUAAGGCUGGAUGGGGCUCUGUGACUUCUGGAGCUGAGAAACAUGAACAGAGGAACACGUGUCACUGUCCAGAGCACCUUCAAGGGCUGGCGUAUGAUUCAGGGUGCAGAGAGCAAGCUUCCUCCAGGCUGGACACCUGGGUUAGGAAGGUGAGCAGAGGUCCUGUGUUCUCCAUAAGGGACAUGCGAUGUGAACGAGAAAGAAACCUUUCCUGUGUGGGUCACUGUGAGCCUGGAAGUGUGGGUGACCCGUCCACUCACCACCAUCCCUGACUCAGAAUUGCCAAGCUUCAGGACAACUCCACCCCCUUCAGCGGGGGCAUUUUCCAUUCUAUUUUCUCCAGCGGAAGGUGCAGGACGUGCAAGCAAACCCAGCUCCCUUUCUGGUGGCAUCUUAAAUUGGGGGUACAACAGACUUUCCGGACGUUUGCCUCUUCAAGCUGAACUUGGCAGUAAUUCAGUUUUAUGAAUUCUGACGUGAAGUCUGUCUCCAGAUAUGGACGAGCAGAGCUCGUAGAGAACGGAGAACAGGUGUGGCUGUGUGACACUAGGGACACCUCCUGGCUUAAGAGGUCCAAGAGUCCCCUUCUGACCAACAUGGGACUCAGCCAUUGGUGGGAUGUAGCCGAUGACUCAUCGUUCACUUAUUUGUUUUGAAAAUGGGCAACCUCCUCCACAAGCACUUAAAUGGGGAAAACGUAUGUUUGGCUAUUUAAGUCUUAUUUUGCUAGCAAUUUAGACUUUGGUGACUUUCUAAAAAUACCAGGUGACGGUUGUGUCAAAACGAGAAACUUCGAGUGAGAUCUGAGGGUCACCGCUUCUUCUCCAACUUCGUUUUCAUCGAUGCUGGAUUUGGGGGGGUGUUUACUUUCUACGGGAAGGAGCGGCUGCUGGGACGGAGGCGCAUUCACGGGCUGACAGCCAGAGGACGUCGGAGGUUUUGACAGGGUAGAGGGUACCCCUUCUGCACGAAGCCACACUCCUUCUUGACGCCUGUCUUGAAGGCGAGGCUGUGGCAAGACGGGCUGAUGCCUCGGGCAGGAUGUCAGUUGGGCAUCGUCUCCCCUCCAAUUACCCAGCAGCCGAUAGAAAAUACAAUAAAAUAAAAUUUAAAAUUUGACAUGAUUCACUAAGUUAGUCAUCACAAGUUUGCAUUGGAUUCAAUUUUGAAGCCAUUGCCCAGCCCGCCCACGAGGAAGGAAUUAACUGUGCUCUGGGAUGCCACGGGGAGCAUUCCUAGCUGCAGGGCAAUCAGAUGGCCCCGGCGGGCAGGACAGAACCCGCCAGGAGGGACCAUCUCACUCCACCUUCCAGAGCUUCCAGAUGUGUGCCCUGCUACAAGGUGAGAGGGAGAUACUCUCAACGCCCAUCACGUCCUGCCAUUGGGUCCCAGUACUUGGUUUGUGAAGCCACGGUCAUGCUUAAUAGAUGGGUGUCAGGGUCGAAGCCACUCUUGGAACCAGCCUCUUUCGGAACCAGACUUUCCAGGGGACACAGUGUAGAGCUGUGCACAGCGAGCGAGGUUCAGACUACCCAGAAGGGAUUCACAUAGUGAGCCAAUAGUCAAUUAAUUUACUCAGCCGAGAAUGCACCUAAGUGAUAGCCUCAUGUCUUGAAAGAGGCAGUGCCCAGAGCUGUCUGUUAGACUCCCCGGGCACCACUCAUUGUUCCAAAAGCCCGUUUUCUGGACGACAGAGUGGUGGACUUAAUGAAUUACUGCCAUUGAUUUUUUUUUUUCCCUCUCGGUAAGAAUAAUGUAGGCAUGUCUAAGAAAAUAUAGGAAAUUAUAAAAAGAAAAAUAAUCUAUCAUCACAGAAUGUUCCAGUGGACAGUGUUGUCUGGACUCACUCCCAGGAGGUGGACUGGGGAGGAUCAUCUGGGUCAAAUGGGGGCCUGGUUCUUUCCGGACGCCAGGCAACAACUGGUCAUGCUCUUCUCCAGCUGGCUUCUCAGUGACCCCAAGUAUGGCCCCGUGGCGUUCCCUUCUUCGGGGGAGUAUCUCCAGAGCUUCAGGUCUUCAGGGGAAGAAGUGACAGCAUCCACAGUCUAAAGGAGCAGAGGUUGCCCAGCGGGCAUGGCCUCCCACCGGAGGCUUACCUGCCUUCAGAGGUCCGUCCAUCCUGCAUCUCGAUAAGGUCAAGAAACCCUCGGAGCUCUGCCUGAAAUUCAAACACAGCCCAUGCUAACCUGACGUGUUCAACAGAAGGUGCCAUUUCUCAAGGAACCUGCUGCUUAGUACCACUGACAACAGUUUUGGUGAUGGUUUCCUCCAGGCACUGAGAAAGGGGAAAAUAACUGAAUGGGAAAGUUACUGUAUGCUAUUAUCAUUCAAUUAUCACUAGUGCUUUACUUUUUUUGGGAUGUUCUACCUCAUUUAAUUCAUCCGGACCACAGUGGGGGGGACACAGAAUGCUACGGGCUGAGUGGGUGAGGAAAGGGGUUUCGUCCUGAGUGGGAGGUUGCAGGCAAACGAUCAGGUGGAGGCUCAAACCCAGGUGGUUCUACUUCUUAUUUUUUUUAUUUUUUCAUCAGAAAUUUGAUAAACCCUAAGAUAAAGGAUCUCUCGAAAAUAAACCAUCGGAUUUGGCCUCCAGUGAGAAGAUGCGAAAAGGUGUUUUAUUUCAGCUUUCGGAGGACUGGCGACUUCCUAUUCCGAUUUGUUGUUACAAAAACACCAGAGAGGGACUCCUAGUCUCGCCUCUGGGUCUAUGGUGCACAUUCUCAGCCCUCUGUUAGGGCUCACGUGUGUCCUGAAGCCGGUCCCGUGGGAUGGGAAGGGGCACUGAAUCUCCCCACGUUGCUCCUUGGAGGACCUAGGAGGCAGGAGCCCCUCAGAGGCCGGUGGCCAAGAGGCCCAGAGGAAACGGCAUCAAGAACCAAAACUGACGUCCUGGACCAGUGCGACAGGAGGGACGGAGUGCAGGUGGGGCAGUGUCCGUGUGUGCCCAACCCCUCUUGCAACACAGCAGAACCACCGUGAUGUGGGGGUCACCUACGUUGGCCUCUCCUCCUGCCGCAUCAGUAGCCUAGAUGCUGCAGAAAAAGCUAUUUAUGGGAACGAAUUUCUCCUUUGAAAUGUGGGCCCAGACAACGGAUCAGUGUCUCUCCCACUGCCAGUUGGAGGACUGUCUAAUGCCUGUUUGGCGAAAUUUGAUCUUGGAGUUGAUGAUGAAGCGGUAACAAGGAAAAUUCUAUUAAUUUACGUACGGAGAGCUACGUGGUGCAGGCGCAGGACAUGAGACCUUCUCCAGCACGUGGCCUUCUUGGAGGAGAGUGGGAUAAGCCAGUGUGGGCAGGCUUUGGGAGAACUGCCCUCAGGUGUGAGAGUUACGGUUUGAGAUGCACAGGCCCACAAGGGUCCCUGUCAUACCGGGUCACGGACAACUGAGCCACGACAACCGUGAGGGUGACAGGCUGUCUGUUUUGCUCAAGACUUUCCAUGUUUUCCCAUUGGACGUCUUGAGUCUUGAGAGCUCCCUCCUUCCUGGGAAAAGGAGGCUGCUGGUCAUGCCUUGUAUCCUGCCAAGUGUGGACAAGUCCUUAAAAUCUUUCUGGGGAAGUGUGGUUUCUUUGUUUGCUUGUCUGGUUGGUGGAUUGCAAAUGAAUGCUCAGGAGAUAAUUAGCCUCUUACAUCCCAUAAACUGAUGGCACCUACCCAGAACUCUGGCUUCGGGCCUGGGGGCGGGGAUCUGCCCGAGGGAGGUCUCAGUGCAGCACCUGGCGGGGGGAGGUGUGGUGGGAGGUCGGAGGGAGGGGGUUCCGGCAAGGUGGCCACUCCAAUCGAAGGUUUAAAUGCAGGUUCAGCAGCAGCCCAAGGGGAGACCGUGAGCAGAAAAGAAGCAUGCGGUGUGGCCCACAGUGCCACUAGCUCAUCUCAGUCCCAGGCGUCUGAGUCAUGGAGCAGAGGGCCGAGCCGGCCGGGAGACACGUCCUAGGUGUGUUUACAGAGAGCCUGAGAACAUUCUGUCUUCAAGCAAAUGCUCUUCAGAGUCCUCAGAGUUCGUUAGAGAGGGGGAGAGGAUUAAAUAAGUUCCUCUGAGAUCUGAAGUGUCCAGGAGCAGGAUCCCGGUUUGGCUCUGUUUUGUCAGUGUUGAGCGAUGUCUUUGAUGUCUAGCGCGCGCUGAUCGUCUCGCCUUCCUGAUGCAGGUUCUCUGCUAGAAGUCGACAAGGGACAGUAAACGAACAGUGGGGCUUUAAUUGCAUAUAAUUACUCGGUGUGCCAAAGUAUUUUACAAUUGAGAUAAUUUGCCUGAAAGUGUGGGUAUUUAGUGAAUAGAAUUUAUGGUAAUUCCCUUAUUUUCCCCCAACUGCCUAGUAAUCUUUAUAACAAGGAAGUGGAAGGACAAUAAGAAUCCCGAAUUGAAACAAAGCCAUACAUAAAAGUGCUUAAAAUGUAUCUGUUUGUCUUUGUUUCAGUAGGAAUCCACAACAAAGUUAAUCGGACCAACAAGGAUCAAUAGAAAAGUGACUGAAGAUUCGCGUUUCUUUGAAGCGGGUAGAGGCAAGGAAAUAAUCCUUGCAAACAAUGGAGGCCUUUAAUUCACGGCUGCGGCACUGAGAGCCAUUGUGAAGUGGGAUUUGCUGGGUUUCAGGUUUUAAUUUGAACUGUACAAGCAGGUGCAGCGAGGAGGCCGAGCCCCUGCUCCUACACUCCUGCCACGCCCUGCAAGUCAACCUCCCUGGUAAUCCUGCGCUGGGUAAUGGAGACGCCUGCCUUCUGUUCUGUUUUGUUUUAAGCGGCUACGAUGAACGCAAUUCCUAUGCACUCUGUCUUUUUCACUUGGGUCCGUCCUCAGCUACUUCUCUAACCAGGGAAAUGGGAACAAGGGAAGGAGGAGAACCAGGGGAGGCAAGCUCAGCUUCAAACCCGGAAAACAAAACUUCACUAAAAAAUAUUCUCAUUUAACCAUAAUAGGAUGUAGACUGAAACAUUCUCAGAGCCACUGGGGCAGAAAAUGCUUCUGAAGUGAAGGGAGCUGGCUUUCCCAUCAGCCACCACCCAAGCCAUGGGACCAUUAGGAGAAGUCCCCCUGCCCUUUAUGUUGUGUGGGUAUUUUCCCUCCCAGACUCAGACACACUGUCCAUUGUAAUUCUUGACUGUAGAUGAUGGAUAACGAGGAGAGAACUGAGAGCCUGUGGCUUGGUCAGGGUAUCACACGGUGGGGGCACUGUGUGCGGCCGACGGGAGACACUUAAGAGUAGGGGAUGUGACCAAAUGCAGGCUCUCUCAGGUCCGGAACUUCAUCGCAACCAAGCUUCAGAGAUGCUGCCCGGAGUCAGACGCAGGUGCUUCUGGGCAUGUAGACUGUGCUCAGGAGCUCAGAGCACAGAACACAGCAAGGGCCACACGAGAGGUGCAGCGCUGUGAGCUGCCCCUAGGCUCUGCUGUCUCCCCUUAUCUGGAGCCUAUCGGGACAUGGGCUUAGAGCUGCUCUGGCGGGAUGGUGUGCGGUCUGACGUGCCAGCGACCGUCAAGGACAAGCUGGACAGCCACGUGCAGAGGUUCCGAGGACCUGGGAGCGGAGGGGUCAUGGGGGUCGGCCGGCAGCUUUGGUCCUGGGAGCCGUGAAGCCAGUGUAAUGGGAGUGGAGGUUCUGGGUGGUGCAGGACACACGUGCAGGGCUGAGGAAUUCGCCCAACAUCCUGCGGGCUGUAAGGUGCUCGGAGGGCCACCUCAGCUGGGAGCAAGGUGGUGAACUGGAUGUGUGGCUCAGCAGAGGAAGGGCCGGGGAGGUGGGGGAAGGGUUCUGCUGGGACAUUCCAGGGCCGAUCAGACCCAAAUUCUCCUUUGUCUUUGCAUACCUUCCUGAAUUUGGGCAGAUUAUGUAUAUCUCCUCUGAAUCAUAACUUUAUUAUUUAAAAUGGAAAUAAAAAAUAACCUUC